This 579-nucleotide ribosomal RNA is filed under the name Pseudomonas sp. CBFP4. RNAcentral's name for it is "bacterial SSU rRNA". It matches the Rfam family "Bacterial small subunit ribosomal RNA", at positions 61 to 635 of the family's 1533-position model. The record is from RNAcentral. Lineage: Bacteria; Pseudomonadati; Pseudomonadota; Gammaproteobacteria; Pseudomonadales; Pseudomonadaceae.
GUCGAGCGGAUGAAGGGAGCUUGCUCCUGGAUUCAGCGGCGGACGGGUGAGUAAUGCCUAGGAAUCUGCCUGGUAGUGGGGGAUAACGUCCGGAAACGGGCGCUAAUACCGCAUACGUCCUGAGGGAGAAAGUGGGGGAUCUUCGGACCUCACGCUAUCAGAUGAGCCUAGGUCGGAUUAGCUAGUUGGUGGGGUAAAGGCCUACCAAGGCGACGAUCCGUAACUGGUCUGAGAGGAUGAUCAGUCACACUGGAACUGAGACACGGUCCAGACUCAUACGGGAGGCAGCAGUGGGGAAUAUUGGACAAUGGGCGAAAGCCUGAUCCAGCCAUGCCGCGUGUGUGAAGAAGGUCUUCGGAUUGUAAAGCACUUUAAGUUGGGAGGAAGGGCAGUAAGUUAAUACCUUGCUGUUUUGACGUUACCAACAGAAUAAGCACCGGCUAACUUCGUGCCAGCAGCCGCGGUAAUACGAAGGGUGCAAGCGUUAAUCGGAAUUACUGGGCGUAAAGCGCGCGUAGGUGGUUCAGCAAGUUGGAUGUGAAAUCCCCGGGCUCAACCUGGGAACUGCAUCCAAAACUA